This is a small nuclear RNA of Vicugna pacos (alpaca), 108 nucleotides long. NCBI's taxonomy places the organism in Eukaryota, Metazoa, Chordata, Mammalia, Artiodactyla, Camelidae. The record is from Ensembl.
GUGCUCUCUUUGGCAGCACAUAUUACUAAAAUUGGAAUGAUGCAAAGAAGAUUAGCAUGACCACUGUGCAAGGAUAAUGUGCAAAUUUUUGAAACAUUCCAUAUUUAA